UACAUUUGUCUCAAUGAUUAGCCACAAAAAGGAGAUGAGCUGAUUUGCAUGGUGCAUAGCCACCUUGGUGCAUGCGACGGUAAGAUGUCAAUAUCUGUGCAGCGUACGCACCAUAUUAUAGUUUUAAUGCAGACUUAGAUGCUUCUUUUUAUCAGAUACCAUCCUAGUAUUUUAAGACAUCCAAAAGUGCUAGGGAAAGAAACUUUUUUGUCGA
This 214-nucleotide long non-coding RNA is filed under the name Elaeis guineensis (African oil palm). RNAcentral describes it as "long non-coding RNA (EGUI_LNC072348)". Lineage: Eukaryota; Viridiplantae; Streptophyta; Magnoliopsida; Arecales; Arecaceae. The record is from RNAcentral.